CUGACACUCAGAGACGAAAGCAUGGGUAGCGAACGGGAUUAGAUACCCCGGUAGUCCAUGCCGUAAACGAUGAUCACUCGAUGUUAGACUUUUCAAUCGGUCUAGUGUCCAAAGCUAACGCGAUAAGUGAUCCGCCUGGGGAGUACGGUCGCAAGAUUAAAACUCAAAGGAAUAGACGGGGACCUACACAAGCAGUGGAGCAUCUGGUUUAAUUCGAUAAUAAGCGAGGAACCUCACCUAGGCUUGACAUCCCGAUGAACGCUCUAGAAAUAGAGAACUGCCUUUUGGAACAUCGGUGACAGGUGCUGCAUGGUUGUCGUCAGCUCGUGCCUUGAGGUGUUCGGUUAAGUCCGUGAACGAGCGCAACCCACGUCGCAUGUUGUAUUUUUCAUGCGAGACCGCCGGUUACAAAUCGGAGGAAGGUGUGGAUGACGUCAAAUCAGCAUGGCCCUUAUGCCUAGGGCUACACAGGUGCUACAAUGGCCAGUACAACGGGCAGCGAAGCAGCAAUGCCAAGCCAAUCCCUUAAAACUGGUCCAAGUUCGGAUUGAGGGCUGCAACUCGCCCUCAUGAAGUUGGAAUUGCUAGUAAACGUGCAUCAGCAAUGGCGCGUUGAAUAUGUUCCUAGGUCUUGUACUCACCGCCCGUCAAGUCAUGGAAGAUAGGGGCGCCCGAAGUCCUUCGUUACUGGAGGCCUAAGGUGA
Molecule: ribosomal RNA, 704 nt
Filed under: uncultured organism
Description: bacterial SSU rRNA
Rfam family: Bacterial small subunit ribosomal RNA
Source: RNAcentral